UUCUAAGGGCGGUGAAGUCAGACCGGAAGGACUGGUGGAGCGCUUAGAAGUGAGAAUGCCGGUAUGAGUAGCGAAAGAAGGGUGAGAAUCCCUUCCACCGAAUAUCUAAGGUUUCCUGAGGAAGGCUCGUCCGCUCAGGGUUAGUCGGGACCUAAGCCGAGGCCGAUAGGCGUAGGCGAUGGACAACAGGUAGAGAUUCCUGUACCAGUGCUAAUUGUUUAACCGAUGGGGUGACACAGAAGGAUAGGGAAUCGCACGAAUGGAAAUGUGCGUCCAAGCAGUGAGUGUGAGAAGUAGGCAAAUCCGCUUCUCGCGAAGCAUGAGCUGUGAUGGGGAAGGAAAUUAAGUACGGAAGUUCCUGAUUUCACGCUGUCAAGAAAAGCCUCUAGGAAGAGUAGUACUGCCCGUACCGCAAACCGACACAGGUAGAUGAGGAGAGAAUCCUAAGGUGAGCGAGAGAACUCUCGUUAAGGAACUCGGCAAAAUGACCCCGUAACUUCGGGAGAAGGGGUGCUCUAUUAGGGUGCAAGCCCGAGAGAGCCGCAGUGAAUAGGCCCAGGCGACUGUUUAGCAAAAACACAGGUCUCUGCAAAACCGUAAGGUGACGUAUAGGGGCUGACGCCUGCCCGGUGCUGGAAGGUUAAGAGGAGUGCUUAGCUUCGGCGAAGGUACGAAUUGAAGCCCCAGUAAACGGCGGCCGUAACUAUAACGGUCCUAAGGUAGCGAAAUUCCUUGUCGGGUAAGUUCCGACCCGCACGAAAGGCGCAACGAUCUGGGCACUGUCUCAACGAGAGACUCGGUGAAAUUAUAGUACCUGUGAAGAUGCAGGUUACCCGCGACAGGACGGAAAGACCCC
Molecule: ribosomal RNA, 856 nt
Filed under: Listeria monocytogenes
Lineage: Bacteria; Bacillati; Bacillota; Bacilli; Caryophanales; Listeriaceae
Description: partial 23S ribosomal RNA
Rfam family: Bacterial large subunit ribosomal RNA
Source: RNAcentral